RNAcentral lists this transfer RNA (87 nucleotides) under Helicobacter jaachi. Its description in RNAcentral is "tRNA-Leu". It matches the Rfam family "tRNA". From Rfam's summary of the family: Transfer RNA (tRNA) molecules are approximately 80 nucleotides in length. Their secondary structure includes four short double-helical elements and three loops (D, anti-codon, and T loops). The record is from RNAcentral. RNAcentral also lists the same sequence under 1 other name. Lineage: Bacteria; Pseudomonadati; Campylobacterota; Epsilonproteobacteria; Campylobacterales; Helicobacteraceae.
GCCGGAGUGGUGAAACUGGUAGACGCGCUAGACUCAAAAUCUAGUAGGGGCGACCCUGUGUCGGUUCGAGUCCGACCUUCGGCACCA